This 1856-nucleotide ribosomal RNA is filed under the name bioreactor sludge metagenome. RNAcentral's name for it is "bacterial LSU rRNA". It matches the Rfam family "Bacterial large subunit ribosomal RNA", at positions 1139 to 2856 of the family's 2925-position model. The record is from RNAcentral.
AGCUCACUGGUCAAGUGAUUCCGCGCCGACAAUGUAGCGGGGCUCAAGUCAUCCGCCGAAGCUAUGGCAUUCAGACAAUAGUCAAGCCUUCGUGGUUCAGACGUCUGGAUGGGUAGGGGAGCGUCGUGUCGCGAGUGAAGCCUCGGAGUGAUCCAGGGGUGGACGCGACACGAGUGAGAAUGCAGGCAUGAGUAGCGAAUGAGGAGUGAGAAACUCCUCCGCCGAAUGAUCAAGGGUUCCAGGGUCAAGCUAAUCUGCCCUGGGUAAGUCGGGACCUAAGGCGAGGCCGACAGGCGUAGUCGAUGGACAACGGGUUGAUAUUCCCGUACCGGCAAAGUAGCGCCCAUGACGAACCUGGUGAUGCUAACUGCCCGAAUUCGCAGUUACCGAACCCUUCGGGGGGAGGAGCUGCGAGCUAGCGCGGGACCCGAACCAGUAGUAGUCAAGCGAUGGGGUGACGCAGGAAGGUAGCCCAACCGUGGCGAUGGUUGUCCACGGGCAAGAGUGUAGGGAGCCACCUAGGCAAAUCCGGGUGGCAUGUUCCUGAGACUUGACGCGGAGUCCGUAUGGACGAAGUGGGUAAUCCUAUGCUGUCGAGAAAAACCUCUAGCGAGCUAUGCGCCGCCCGUACCCCAAACCGACUCAGGUGAUCAGGUAGAGAAUACCAAGGCGAUCGAGUGAACCAUGGUUAAGGAACUCGGCAAAAUGCCCCCGUAACUUCGGGAGAAGGGGGGCCGGAUCCGUCAAUGCCCUAGCGGCAGGCAGCGGUGAUGGCCGCAGAGACCAGGCCCAAGCGACUGUUUACUAAAAACACAGGUCCGUGCGAAGUUGUAAGACGAUGUAUACGGACUGACUCCUGCCCGGUGCUGGAAGGUUAAGGGGACGGGUCAGCCUUUAGGCGAAGCCCAGAACUUAAGCCCCAGUAAACGGCGGUGGUAACUAUAACCAUCCUAAGGUAGCGAAAUUCCUUGUCGGGUAAGUUCCGACCUGCACGAAUGGAGUAACGACUUGGGCGCUGUCUCAACCGUGGACUCGGCGAAAUUGCACUACGAGUAAAGAUGCUCGUUACGCGCGGCAGGACGGAAAGACCCCGGGACCUUUACUAUAGUUUGGUAUUGGUGUUUGGUUCGGCUUGUGUAGGAUAGGUGGGAGACUUUGAAGCACGGACGCCAGUUCGUGUGGAGUCAACGUUGAAAUACCACUCUGGUCGUACUAGAUGUCUAACCUAGGUCCGUAAUCCGGAUCAGGGACAGUGCCUGAUGGGUAGUUUAACUGGGGCGGUUGCCUCCUAAAAUGUAACGGAGGCGCUCAAAGGUUCCCUCAGCCUGGUUGGCAAUCAGGUGGCGAGUGUAAGUGCACAAGGGAGCUUGACUGUGAGACAGACAUGUCGAGCAGGGACGAAAGUCGGAACUAGUGAUCCGGCCACGGCAUGUGGAAGCGUGGUCGCUCAACGGAUAAAAGGUACCCCGGGGAUAACAGGCUGAUCUUCCCCAAGAGUCCAUAUCGACGGGAUGGUUUGGCACCUCGAUGUCGGCUCGUCGCAUCCUGGGGCUGGAGUAGGUCCCAAGGGUUGGGCUGUUCGCCCAUUAAAGCGGCACGCGAGCUGGGUUUAGAACGUCGUGAGACAGUUCGGUCCCUAUCCGCCGCGCGCGCAGGAAACUUGAGAAAGGCUGUCCCUAGUACGAGAGGACCGGGAUGGACGAACCUCUGGUGUGCCAGUUGUUCUGCCAAGAGCACGGCUGGUUGGCUACGUUCGGAAGUGAUAACCGCUGAAUGCAUCUAAGCGGGAAGCACGUUUCAAGAUGAGGUUUCCCACUACAUAAGUAGGUAAGGUCCCCAGCAGAACACUGGGUUGA